UCCUUGGAUUUACGGUAGCCA
RNAcentral lists this non-coding RNA (21 nucleotides) under Arabidopsis thaliana (thale cress). The record is from RNAcentral. Lineage: Eukaryota; Viridiplantae; Streptophyta; Magnoliopsida; Brassicales; Brassicaceae.